GGAAAUUAAGGAGCAGCUCCCAGUAAAAGGAGAGAAAGAUUAGCAACUACCAACAUCUGCCUGAGCAACAAGAACAAGGCAUUAACCUCAGGAAAUGAAGUUCAGACCUAUCUUUUGGAGGCCGCUCUUAUGCCAGGGAGCAAUCAGUGCCCAAAACACGAGACUUCAAACCUA
Long non-coding RNA from Pipra filicauda (Wire-tailed manakin), 174 nucleotides. RefSeq lists it as uncharacterized. The record is from RefSeq and is a predicted model, not a curated record. NCBI's taxonomy places the organism in Eukaryota, Metazoa, Chordata, Aves, Passeriformes, Pipridae. The transcript is spliced from 2 exons.